GACGAACGCUGGCGGCGUGCCUAACACAUGCAAGUCGAACGGACACAGAUGUUAGACUACAGACAUCAGACAACAGACGAGAGACAACGAAGGACGGAGAGGGGACAUAAGGAUAAGGGAACGGACAUAGAGCCAUUUUCAAAUCGGAGGUCUCGGAAGCGACCUGAGAAGGAAUAUCUGAAAUCUGGUAUCUGAAGUCUAAUAUCUGUGUUAGUGGCGGACGGGUGAGUAACGCGUGAGCAACCUGCCUUUCAGAGGGGGAUAACGUUUGGAAACAGACGCUAAUACCGCAUAAGAUAGUAGUAUCGCAUGGUACGGCUAUCAAAGGAGCAAUCCGCUGAGAGAUGGGGCUCGCGUCCGAUUAGAUAGUUGGUGGGGUAACGGCCGUACCAAGUCAGCGAUCGGUAGCCGGACUGAGAGGUUGAACGGCCACAUUGGGACUGAGACACGGCCCAGACUCCUACGGGAGGCAGCAGUGGGGGAUAUUG
Molecule: ribosomal RNA, 488 nt
Filed under: uncultured bacterium
Lineage: Bacteria
Description: bacterial SSU rRNA
Rfam family: Bacterial small subunit ribosomal RNA
Source: RNAcentral